UGCAGUCGAACGAACUUAACCAUUAGUUUACUAUUGGAGCGGUUAGUGGCGGACUGGUGAGUAACACGUAAGCAACCUGCCUAUCAGAGGGGAACAACAGUUAGAAAUGACUGCUAAUACCGCAUAUGCCUUAGAAUCACAUGGUUCAAAAGGGAAAGGAGCAAUCCGCUGAUAGAUGGGCUUGCGUCUGAUUAGCUAGUUGGUGGGGUAAUGGCCUACCAAGGCGACGAUCAGUAGCCGAACUGAGAGGUUGAACGGCCACAUUGGGACUGAGAUACGGCCCAGACUCCUACGGGAGGCAGCAGUCGGGGAUAUUGCGCAAUGGAGGAGACUCUGACGCAGUGACGCCGCGUGCAGGAAGAAGGUUUUCGGAUUGUAAACUGCUUUAGACAGGGAAGAACAAAGACAGUACCUGUAGAAUAAGCUCCGGCUAACUACGUGCCAGCAGCCGCGGUAAUACGUAGGGAGCGAGCGUUAUCCGGAUUUAUUGGGUGUAAAGGGUGCGUAGACGGGAAGUCAAGUUAGUUGUGAAAUCCCUCGGCUUAACUGAGGAACUGCAACUAAAACUGAUUUUCUUGAGUACUGGAGAGGAAAGUGGAAUUCCUAGUGUAGCGGUGAAAUGCGUAGAUAUUAGGAGGAACACCGGUGGCGAAGGCGACUUUCUGGACAGAAACUGACGUUGAGGCACGAAAGUGUGGGGAGCAAACAGGAUUAGAUACCCUGGUAGUCCACACCGUAAACGAUGGAUACUAGGUGUAGGGGAUAUUAAAAUUCUCUGUGCCGCCGCUAACGCAAUAAGUAUCCCACCUGGGGAGUGCGGCCGCAAGGUUGAAACUC
This 837-nucleotide ribosomal RNA is filed under the name uncultured bacterium. RNAcentral's name for it is "bacterial SSU rRNA". It matches the Rfam family "Bacterial small subunit ribosomal RNA", at positions 56 to 902 of the family's 1533-position model. The record is from RNAcentral.